AUUGAACGCUGGCGGCAGGCCUAACACAUGCAAGUCGAGCGGAGCGGCGGACGGAUGGGUAAUUCCUAUGAAUCUGCCUGGUAGUGGGGGAUAGCUUCCUGCAACGAGCGCUAAUUCCUCAUCCUAUCCGAUGAGCCUAGGUCGGAUUCGCUAGUUGGUGGGGUAAAGGCCGACCAAGGCGACGAGCCGUAACUGGUCUGAGAGGAUGAUCAGUCAAACUGGAAAUGAGACACGGUCCAGACUCCUACGGGAGGCAGCAGUGGGGAAUAUUGGACAAUGGGCGAAAGCCUGAUCCAGCCAUGCCGCGUGUGUGAAGAAGGUCUUCGGAUUGUAAAGCACUUUAAGUUGGGAGGCGUUACCAACAGAAUAAGCACCGGCUAACUUCGUGCCAGCCGCCGCGGUAAUUC
RNAcentral lists this ribosomal RNA (407 nucleotides) under uncultured bacterium. RNAcentral describes it as "partial 16S ribosomal RNA". It matches the Rfam family "Bacterial small subunit ribosomal RNA", at positions 30 to 526 of the family's 1533-position model. The record is from RNAcentral.